This 490-nucleotide ribosomal RNA is filed under the name uncultured bacterium. Its description in RNAcentral is "partial 16S ribosomal RNA". It matches the Rfam family "Bacterial small subunit ribosomal RNA", at positions 30 to 507 of the family's 1533-position model. The record is from RNAcentral.
AUUGAACGCUGGCGGCAGGCCUAACACAUGCAAGUCGAACGGUAACAGGAAACAGCUUGCUGUUUCGCUGACGAGUGGCGGACGGGUGAGUAAUGUCUGGGAAACUGCCUGAUGGAGGGGGAUAACUACUGGAAACGGUAGCUAAUACCGCAUAACGUCGCAAGACCAAAGAGGGGGACCCUCGGGCCUCUUGCCAUCGGAUGUGCCCAGGUGGGAUUAGCUUGUUGGUGGGGUAACGGUUCACCAAGGCGACGAUCCCUAGCUGGUCUGAGAGGAUGACCGGCCACACUGGAACUGAGACACGGUCCAGACUCCUACGGGAGGCAGCAGUGGGGAAUAUUGCACAAUGGGCGCAAGCCUGAUGCAGCCAUGCCGCGUGUAUGAAGAAGGCCUUCGGGUUGUAAAGUACUUUCAGCUGGGAGGAAGGGAGUAAAGUUAAUACCUUUGCUCAUUGACGUUACCCGCAGAAGAAGCACCGGCUAACUCCGUG